This 459-nucleotide ribosomal RNA is filed under the name uncultured bacterium. RNAcentral's name for it is "partial 16S ribosomal RNA". It matches the Rfam family "Bacterial small subunit ribosomal RNA", at positions 338 to 795 of the family's 1533-position model. The record is from RNAcentral.
CCUACGGGAGGCAGCAGUGAGGAAUAUUGGUCAAUGGGAGAGAUCCUGAACCAGCCAAGCCGCGUGAGGGAAGACGGCCCUAUGGGUUGUAAACCUCUUUUGUCGGAGAACAAAACCCGGGACGUGUCCCGGACUGCGUGUAUCCGUAGAAAAAGCAUCGGCUAACUCCGUGCCAGCAGCCGCGGUAAUACGGAGGAUGCGAGCGUUAUCCGGAUUUAUUGGGUUUAAAGGGUGCGCAGGCGGCGUGUCAAGUCAGCGGUAAAAUGUCGGGGCUCAACCCCGGGCGGCCGUUGAAACUGGGGUGCUCGAGUGGGGGAGAGGUAUGCGGAAUUCGUGGUGUAGCGGUGAAAUGCAUAGAUAUCAGGAAGAACCCCGGUUGCGAAGGCAGCAUGCCGGCUCCACACUGACGCUGAGGCACGAAAGCGUGGGUAUCGAACAGGAUUAGAUACCCCAGUAGUC